RNAcentral lists this ribosomal RNA (237 nucleotides) under uncultured bacterium. RNAcentral describes it as "partial 16S ribosomal RNA". It matches the Rfam family "Bacterial small subunit ribosomal RNA", at positions 57 to 305 of the family's 1533-position model. The record is from RNAcentral.
GCAAGUCGAGGGGGUGUAGCAAUACAUCACCGGCGCACGGGUGCGUAACACGUAUGCAACCUACCCCUUAUUAAAGGAUAUACUCGGGAAACUGGGGGCAAUACUUUAUAUGCACACAUCUAGGCAUCUAGGAGUGUGAAAACGUAAGGAUAGGGGAUGGGCAUGCGUCUGAUUAGCUAGUUGGUGAGGUAACGGCUCACCAAGGCGACGAUCAGUAGCUGGUCUGAGAGGAUGAUC